Molecule: ribosomal RNA, 869 nt
Filed under: Beltrania sp.
Lineage: Eukaryota; Fungi; Ascomycota; Sordariomycetes; Amphisphaeriales; Beltraniaceae
Description: partial large subunit ribosomal RNA
Rfam family: Eukaryotic large subunit ribosomal RNA
Source: RNAcentral
GGAGGAAAAGAAACCAACAGGGAUUCCCCUAGUAACGGCGAGUGAAGCGGGAACAGCUCAAAUUUGAAAUCUGGCCUUCGGGUCCGAAUUGUAAUUUGCAGAGGAUGCUUUUGGUUAGGUACUUUCCGAGUUCCCUGGAACGGGACGCCUUAGAGGGUGAGAGCCCCGUACGGUUGGAUACCAAGCCUUUGUAAAGCUCCUUCGACGAGUCGAGUAGUUUGGGAAUGCUGCUCUAAAUGGGAGGUAAAUUUCUUCUAAAGCUAAAUACCGGCCAGAGACCGAUAGCGCACAAGUAGAGUGAUCGAAAGAUGAAAAGCACUUUGAAAAGAGGGUUAAAUAGCACGUGAAAUUGUUGAAAGGGAAGCGUUUAUGACCAGACUUUUUCCAGGCGAAUCAUCCGGUGUUCUCGCCGGUGCACUUCGUCUGGUUGAGGCCAGCAUCGGUUUUCGUGGGGGGAUAAAAGCGGUGGGAAUGUGACUCCUCCGGGAGUGUUAUAACCCGCCGUAUAAUACCUCCAUGGGGACCGAGGUUCGCGCUCUGCAAGGAUGCUGGCGUAAUGGUCAUCAACGACCCGUCUUGAAACACGGACCAAGGAGUCGAACAUUUGUGCGAGUGUUUGGGUGUUAAACCCUCACGCGUAAUGAAAGUGAACGGAGGUGAGAGCCCUUACGGGUGCAUCAUCGACCGAUCCUGAUGUUUUCGGAUGGAUUUGAGUAAGAGCAUAACUGUUCGGACCCGAAAGAUGGUGAACUAUGCGUGGAUAGGGUGAAGCCAGAGGAAACUCUGGUGGAGGCUCGCAGCGGUUCUGACGUGCAAAUCGAUCGUCAAAUCUGCGCAUGGGGGCGAAAGACUAAUCGAACCAUCUAGUA